GACGAACGCUGGCGGCGUGCCUAAUACAUGCAAGUAGAACGCUGAAGGAGGAGCUUGCUUCUCUGGAUGAGUUGCGAACGGGUGAGUAACGCGUAGGUAACCUGCCUGGUAGCGGGGGAUAACUAUUGGAAACGAUAGCUAAUACCGCAUAACAGUAGAUAUCGCAUGAUAUCUACUUGAAAGGUGCAAUUGCAUCACUACCAGAUGGACCUGCGUUGUAUUAGCUAGUUGGUGAGGUAACGGCUCACCAAGGCGACGAUACAUAGCCGACCUGAGAGGGUGAUCGGCCACACUGGGAAUGAGACACGGCCCAGACUCCUACGGGAGGCAGCAGUAGGGAAUCUUCGGCAAUGGACGGAAGUCUGACCGAGCAACGCCGCGUGAGUGAAGAAGGGUUUCGGAUCGUAAAGCUCUGUUGUAAGAGAAGAACGAGUGUGAGAGUGGAAAGUUCACACUGUGACGGUAUCUUACCAGAAAGGGACGGCUAACUACGUG
This 495-nucleotide ribosomal RNA is filed under the name uncultured bacterium. RNAcentral's name for it is "partial 16S ribosomal RNA". It matches the Rfam family "Bacterial small subunit ribosomal RNA", at positions 28 to 507 of the family's 1533-position model. The record is from RNAcentral.